AAUACCUCACAUUUUGUGUGUUGAACUCAAGCCAACAAACUAGAGCCAAGUCUAACUACUUCUAGUUUUUUAGAAAUUAAUUCUACUUCUGCAAGUGUUGUCAGAUGUGUGAGAAAUGCAGGCUAUCUGAAGGGACUCUGCUAAUUGAAAGUUGUCCAGAGCCAGCAACAGAAAGUCCAGGAUGGGGCCUUCUUUGAGAGAGAGACCUCAAGAGCGGGAUGAAAUCCUUUCCAGUGUGCUUAUCCAAGUGGUCUGCUACACCACUUGCUUACACAGUAUGCCUUGUGGAUCACUGAAACGGAG
Molecule: long non-coding RNA, 303 nt
Organism: Passer domesticus (house sparrow)
Lineage: Eukaryota; Metazoa; Chordata; Aves; Passeriformes; Passeridae
Exons: 3
Source: RefSeq, a predicted model, not a curated record